CGUAGCAAUACGGAGUGGCAGACGGGUGAGUAACACGUGGGAACAUGCCCUUUGGUUCGGAAUAACUCAGGGAAACUUGAGCUAAUACCGGAUAAGCCCGAGAGGGGAAAGAUUUAUCGCCGAAGGAUUGGCCCGCGUCCGAUUAGCUAGUUGGUGAGGUAAUGGCUCACCAAGGCGACGAUCGGUAGCUGGUCUGAGAGGAUGAUCAGCCACACUGGGACUGAGACACGGCCCAGACUCC
Molecule: ribosomal RNA, 241 nt
Filed under: uncultured bacterium
Lineage: Bacteria
Description: partial 16S ribosomal RNA
Rfam family: Bacterial small subunit ribosomal RNA
Source: RNAcentral